Gallus gallus (chicken) is the source of this 3868-nucleotide long non-coding RNA. NCBI's taxonomy places the organism in Eukaryota, Metazoa, Chordata, Aves, Galliformes, Phasianidae. The record is from Ensembl.
CCCGGGUGUAGCUGCGCUCGGGGGAGGCCCUCCAUCCGCCCUCCGCUGCCGUAGCGCCCUCCUCGGCCUCCCCUCCCCGAUGAGAGACUUGUAGGAUCGUCCAUCUUCAACUCCUGUCAGUGAGCAGCUGGAACCUUUGUGACCCCGUGUUGAGCUGUGGAAAGGCAGGAAUGGGCAGGGAAGCCACCUACCUCUGGAGCAAACAAAGCAAUGCAACCUCAGAGCAGGAGCGUCAGCCACAUCCUUGCUCCUUUGGCUGGGCACUGAGUGUGAGAGGAACCUACUGAGAAGGCCCCAUCUGCAUGGUGUUCUUUGGUGACCAGGAGAGCAGCAGGCACUGAGCAGAAUGUGUGAUUUGUUCUUCUGGCAUGUCCUAAGGAGGCAGCAAGUGUGGGAGUGGUUUUUCCAUGGGGAUAUCUCUGGGAGCAGGCAGGUCCCAGCACAUCUGGGCAGGUAGGCUUGGGCCUGCUGCUCUUGCUGUGGCCUGAAGCGCACAGCAUGCGCCAGCCUGGGCUGUACAACAGGAGCAGUCAUUAUGCAGAAAGCUUGAAAUGAUAGAAAUCUGCAUAUUAAGAUGACUUUGGAAACACUUCUGGAAGACUUUGUCCCUUUAAAUCUCGUUGGAAGGGUCUCUUCCAGUGUGAGUCAUUUGCAGCUGUAGAGGACCCCGGGCAGAGCCUUCCUCUUCUCUACUGAAUAGGGUUGUCAGAGCUCCCAGGGUCAGCGUGGGGAGAAAAAUACCCUGAUUCAUUUCCCAACCAGAUAUGCAUAGGAGAACUCCCAUAGGGCUGCUGCUGCGGGGGUUGUGGCUUUGGUUUUCCAGUCGCUCUGCUCUACAUAAGCGACAUGCAGCUCCAAGGUCCCACCCAGAGGACUGAAACACCCCAGAGCCCGUCCCCAGGCAGCACACAAUGGUGUUGAUAUGACUCUUGCUACAGAGGAAGUGGCUUCUGUUAUAACCAGAGAGCAAUCUGCCAAAGUCCACAGUCUGGGCAGUUGCCAAGCUGAGUUUGACAAAAAUAUUUAACUUUGACUUUCAUCUUAGCUUUUUCUCAAGAUAAUUCUCCUACUUCCUACCAUUGAAAUCUCACCUAUGCUAGGAUUUUUAUUUUUACGUAAACUAAUCUAUGCUUUUACUCAGAGAAAGUAAUAUACAACAGAUUAAAAUCUUUAACAGAUCAUGAAAAUAGUCUAAAAUGUUGUCAGUACAAUAACAAAACUGGUGUUAGGCUCUAUGCAGCUCAGGGCGUUGCUCAGGGUUUUUUUGUGCCCUCUCCUGUUCCUGCUCAGAGCAGUCUGUUCUUGAUCUGAAUUAGACACUGGAAAUACUACAGAGGUACUGUAGCAGAGAAGACAGGGUGUGAAAACCUUGGGAUAUUUGAGGCCUCAGGCGCCCCCUUGUGCCCUUUCUUUUUUGUGUUGCAGUGCCAGCAAAUGCAAGGGACACAGGCUGCACAAAACAGCUGAGCCUCAGCUGCAUCAUUGCGUGGGGCCUGCGGGGUGCUCUGGCACUUGCAUCGUGCUCAGUGAUAGUUUGGAUGUGUAGGAGUUGCUUGUUGAUAAGUAACACAAAGUUCACCCCAACUAUACAAUGUGCUUAUUGAGAAGUUUUGAACGUACAAAAGCUAUUAUUCUCUUCUAAAAGACAAGAGUAAGGUUUUGGAUUCAUUUAAAGAUGGUAAGAUUUGUGGGUUAUAAAUUUUGUCUGGUGGGCCUGAUUUUAAGUUGGGUUUUGAACCUCCCUGAUUCUUAAGAAUACUAUGCAAGCUUAGAUUUCUUCCUGUCUACUCCAUACUGUUUUCAGUCAUCCAUCUCAGGACACGGAGAAGAUGGAGUUCUUGAACACCUUUGUUGCUACAGUCUUCUACACCUUAGGCUGCCCCUUGAAAAUCUCAGGCCCUGGAGAUAGGAAGGAGAGUGGGGAAAAGAAUACUUCCCUUGAUCAAGGAAGAUCUGGUCAGGGAUCAUGUAGGCAAAAUUGCUGCACACAAAUCCACAGGCUCUGAUGAGAUGCACCCAUGAAUGCUGAGGGAGCUGGCAGAGGUGAUUGCCAGGCUGCUCUCUAUCAACUUGGAAAGGUCAUGGCAAACAGGAGAGGUGCCUGUGAACUGGAGGAGUGCCAUUGUCAGUCUGGAUGUCAUUUACAAACAAGUGAAAGAAGAGGAGGUUAUCCAGAGUAGUCAGCUUGGAUUCACCAAGGGCAGAUCACACUUGACUAAUUUGGUAGCCUUCUGUGAUGUCAUGGCUGGCAGGGUAGAGGUAGGGAGAGCAGUGAACAUUAUGAACCUUGACUUCAGCAAGGCUUUUGACACUGUCUUCCAUAACGUCCCCGUGAGUUAGGUUAGCUUAGGAGAUGUGGGAUAGGUGAGUGGACAAUGGAGUGAAUUGAGAACUGUCUGACUGGCGGUGCCCAGAGGGUUGUGGUCAGUGGUACAGAGUCUGGUUGGAGGCCUGCAGUGUUCCCCAGGGGCCAGUACAGGAUCUGUUCUUGUUCAACAUCAGUGACCUAGAUGAAGGGAUAGAAGGCCUUCUCUGCAAGUUUGCAGAUGAUAGAAAGCUGGGAGGAGUGGCUGACACACCAGAAUGCUGUGUUGCCAUUCAUUCAGCAAGACCUGAACAGGCUUGAGAGUUGGGUGGAGAUGAACCUGAUGAGGUUCAACAAGGGCAAGUGCAGAGACCUACACCUGAGGAGGAAUAACCAUAUGCAUGAGUACAGGCAAGGGGGUGACCUGCUGGAAAGGAGCUCUGUAGAGAAGGACCUGAGUGUCAGCAGGUUGUCCAUGAGCCAGCAGUGUGCCCUUGUAGCCAAGAAGGCCAAUGGUAUCUGAAAAGAGUGUGGCCAGCAAGUUGAGGGAGGUGAUCCUCCCCCUCUACUCUGCCCUGGUGAGUCCACAUCUGAAGUACUGUGUCCAGUUCUGGGCUCCCCAGUUCAAGAAAGACGGGGAACUGCUGGAGAGAGUCCAGCAGAGGCCACAAAGAUUAUUGAGGGCCUGGAGCAUCUGCUGUAUGAGGAGAGGCUGAGAGACCUGGGGCUAUUGAGCCAGGAGAAGAGAAGGCUAAAGAGGGAUCUUGUCAAUGCUUAUGAAUAUUUAAUAGACAGCAGUCAAGUGGAUGGGGCCCAGUGGCAGAAGAAGGAGCAACUUGCAGAUAAUUUUAUGAUGCAAAAGCAACUGAGCAUAAUCGAUACAGUGUGUUCUUUGGGGAUUCAAGAUGUUGCUUAUUUCUGUUGGACUAACCCUGAGAAGUUUUAGACUGGGCCACCUGCCAUUCUGUGGUGGCAAUUCUAGCUAAAGAGCAGUUUCUAUCAAUGUACUUCUCCUGAGUUUGUUUCAUGUAGCAGUAACUAGAAUAUAAAGCAAUAGUGACCAUGGUAUACUUAGCCAGGUUCCAUCUACUUCAGUAUCCCAUCUCCAGCAGACACUGUAACCUUAAUAAAAGCCUAAGAACAGGUAAAAUAUAAAUGUUUCUUUGUUCACUGUUCUCAUAGCCUCUGACCAUUUUCACUUCUCAAGCAGAUUAUGGGUUUUGUAUAUUUAGCAAACAUUGGACAGAUUGCUGUGCAAGAUUGUCUAGUCUUCACAACAUCUUUUGGCAAGGAGUUCAGGAAAUCAGCUGACCCCUGGGGGAGGAGCCACCUCUUUUUCUUUGUGUUGAACUGCCUGUUAUCUUCACUGGGUGUUACCUCAGCCUUCAAUCGGAAGAAGAAUGAACAGUGACCAUCCAAGGUGCUCGGGAUUUUACAGUCUUCUGUUAUAUCCUUCCAGUUGUCUCUUUUUUCAGUCUGAAAAGUCCUGUCUUAUUUAAUGGAAAUUGUAUCAUAUCUGUAAAUAAUACAAUCUGUAAAUCAAAAAUAAAAAUCCCGACAGUU